AGCCACGUUGUGUAGCGGUAAACACUUCUGACCCGGCUUGUCAGAAGACGUGGGUUCGAAUCCCAUCAGUGUUU
This is a non-coding RNA of Phthorimaea operculella (potato tuberworm), 74 nucleotides long. The record is from the annotation of a GenBank genome assembly. NCBI's taxonomy places the organism in Eukaryota, Metazoa, Arthropoda, Insecta, Lepidoptera, Gelechiidae.